This 807-nucleotide ribosomal RNA is filed under the name uncultured Bacillota bacterium. RNAcentral describes it as "bacterial SSU rRNA". It matches the Rfam family "Bacterial small subunit ribosomal RNA", at positions 58 to 841 of the family's 1533-position model. The record is from RNAcentral. Lineage: Bacteria; Bacillati; Bacillota.
CAAGUCGAACGCGAAAGCCCCCUUCGGGGGGCAAGUAGAGUGGCGCACGGGUGAGUAACACGUAGGUAAUCUACCUUCGGAUGGGGAAUAACAACCGGAAACGGUUGCUAAUACCGCAUAAUGCAGCGGCACCUAAUGGUGACAGUUGUUAAAGCGGGGGAUCGUAAGACCUCGCGUCUGAAGAGGAGCCUGCGGCAGAUUAGCUAGUUGGUAAGGUAACGGCUUACCAAGGCGAUGAUCUGUAGCCGGCCUGAGAGGGCGGUCGGCCACACUGACACUGACAUACGGGUCAGACUCCUACGGGAGGCAGCAGUCGGGAAUUUUGGGCAAUGGGCGAAAGCCUGACCCAGCAACGCCGCGUGAAGGAUGAAAUCCCUCGGGAUGUAAACUUCGCAAGAACGGGAAGAAUAAGUGAGAGUUAAUAUCUCUCGCGAUGACGGUACCGUUUGUAAGCUCCGGCUAACUCCGUGCCAGCAGCCGCGGUAAUACGGGGGGAGCAAGCGUUGUUCGGAUUUACUGGGCGUAAAGGGCGCGUAGGCGGCCACCGCAAGUCGACUGUGAAAUCUCCGGGCUUAACCCGGAAAGGUCAGCCGAUACUGCGGGGCUAGAGUGCAGAAGGGGCAACUGGAAUUCUCGGUGUAGCGGUGAAAUGCGUAGAUAUCGAGAGGAACACCUGCGGCGAAGGCGGGUUGCUGGGCUGACACUGACGCUGAGGCGCGAAAGCUAGGGGAGCGAACGGGAUUAGAUACCCCGGUAGUCCUAGCCUUAAACGAUGAAUGCUUGGUGUCUGGGGUUUUAUAGUCCCCG